RNAcentral lists this long non-coding RNA (4753 nucleotides) under Setaria italica (foxtail millet). RNAcentral's name for it is "long non-coding RNA (SITA_LNC003999)". Lineage: Eukaryota; Viridiplantae; Streptophyta; Magnoliopsida; Poales; Poaceae. The record is from RNAcentral.
GGUAGGAUUUUGACAACCGGUCCACCUCUGGGUUACCAGUUUUACAAGUUUGGCGAGUGCUAAGUUUACCUAGCGCAAGAAAUAGAAUAAAAACAGCACACCUCUUCUACUCGCUCGCUCUACUCGCGCAAAAGACAUAACACCAUGUGGAACAACACCUUCAUGGCAAGAUAAGGCGAAAGAGAAAAUAGGCAAAAGAUACUGAGACAGCUACAGAAAUUCUCCUCAAGCAAGUCCAGAGUAUGCUUUGGUCAGCUUGCCGAUCACCUCCUCCACCUUUUCCAGAUCUUUAUCAGCAAGAGGUUUCCAUUCCGUUAGGAACGCCACCAUCCUGUGCACCACCACCACCGGCGUCGUAGCGAUCCUGUUGUUGAACACCAUGUCGUUCCUUGUCUUCCACAGCACCCACAUGGCUCCUGCACAAACAUAGAUAAAGAGUUGUCUAGAUUUGUUUCUCAUAUCUCACAUUAUCUUUUCAGUUAAGUUCAAACAAGAUUGUGGGGUCCCCUCAGAGGCAAAGUUUCUUUAUAAAGUUCCAAAGAAAAACCGUAAUAGGGCAUUGAAAGAUUAUAUGAUCAGUUGAUUCUAACUUUUCGCACAGUUUACACUGUUCCGGGCUGACCAAUUCCUUUUUUUUUCAGCUACACCGCCGAUUGGAUUUUUUUUUCUGAAAAACCAUCCAUCCAUAGAAAGAUAUGGAUUUUUAGCGGCACUCUACAUUUCCCAAUGUGGACAGACUAUCUAUCACUCCACCAAAGGUCAUUGCUCUAUACAGGGAUUUUGGUUUAUAUCUGCCAGAUUUCUCUAGGACCCAGCACAUCUCGUCUCUAUUCUCUGUGAGCUCAAUAUUGUCUAGUUGUUCCACAAGUCUGCACAAUUCGUGCAACUCUACGGUAGUCAACGCUCUUCUAAACUGGAUCAGCCACCCCCUUCAUCUCUAGCUUCUUCCACUGUAAUUUCUGGGUUUGAGAAAAACUUGUACAACAAAUCAAACUAUUUUUAGGGGGCAAUCUCCCACCCAUACAUCUUCCUAGAAUCUGGUCUGGCUUCCACUUUUGACUUUCAUAACUCUACCUCUUUGAAACCAUUGUUUUAUCUCAAUCAGCCCCCUCCAGAACUGGGAUCCACAAGCUCUACGAAGUUGGAAAAUGCUUCUCUGGCCCAGGUAUUUUCGUUUGAGCAGCUCUAUACACAUGCUGUCAUCAUCCCUCUCCAGUCUAUCUAUCCACUUGGAUAACAGGCAAACAUUCAUAGCUCUAACAUCCAUGAAGCCCAGCCCUCCAAAAUCUUUGGGUCUGACUAGCGCUUCCCAUUUGAUCAUAUGAUAUUUCCUCUUCUUACACUUCCCUGCCAGAAGAACUUAGAGCAUAUAGUGUCUAGAAUCUGAUAAUUGUCCUCAUACAGCAAAUAAACACCCAUUGUAUACAUAAGGGUACUGGAAAGGCAGGAGUUAAUUAGUACAGUUUUUCCUCCUGAAGACAGUGUCAAUGUGUCACAUUUCCAUAUACCCAGUCUUCUCUUCGCUUUUUCUGCAAUGUAGCUCAAUUGCGCUUUAGUUAAUUUGAGGUCGCUAACUAGCAGGCUUAGAUAGGUAAUAGGUAGUGUGCCUAUGUUACAUCCAAACAGAUCCGCUAACUCUUGUUGAUCCUCAGGACCCAGCCUAAUCCCAAAAAUCUCACUCUUAUUGUAGUUGAUCUUCAUACCAGACAUAUUCUCAAAGUAGUAGAAUUUUUUAAUUUUAACUCUUUUUAAAAAUUAUUUUAAAAAUAACCCCUUCGGACAAAUAUUUUACCCUUUUUGGUUGCGCCGGCCAGCGUGGCGCGACAAAAUGACGUUGUCACACCACAUGCACUGGCGUGACAAGUCUGUAACGCUAGCGCAGGGAGGUGAUAUGGACUCCUCUUAUCACGCCACUGCGUGUGGCGUGAUAACGUGCUUCUGUCGCGCCACUUUGCACGGCGUGACAAGAGCCUACUCUAGUUUAAUUUACUCACUUUGGACCACUACAUAAAAUAGUAUUUGAACUUUAAAUGUUACAAAACUUGGCAUACACGAUAUAUGGUGUGAACAUUCCAUUUUAGUAACAUGUACAAGGCAAGUGCUACAUAUUUUAAAAUUUUUAAUUUCAAAGUAGGCUAUGUAUUAUCCCUAUAUCCCACAUGGGGCUCUUGAUCUCUAUAAAAUAGCAUUUAAAAUUUAAAUAUCAUGAAACUUGGCAUGCACACUGUAGAAAGUGUAAAGGUUCAAUUUUACUAACAUGUAGAAGGCCAAAUGCUACAUAUUUUGAAAUGCAUAAUUUCAAAGUAGACUAUGUAUUAUCCAUUUAUCUCUCUUAGGACAGCUUCUAAGUGUUAAAUAAAUUCGCUUCGACGUUUUCUUUCCUUCAGUUUUAUAACUUAAUUAACUCUAAAUAUUUUAAAAACUUUAAUAAGGCUACAUUAUAAGAUAUAUUUAUUUCAUUUUAACUAUAUUCAUUCCAUCAAUCAUUAUACAAUUGACCCUAUUCAAUUUUGAAUUAGCCUAUGGAUAUAACUAAGAUGUGACAUUCCUGCCAACAAAAACGAUGUGAUCAUAUCUUUAGAUUUAUUCAAUUUCUAUAUAUGCUUCCUGGCACAUACCCGUCAUGUGAGGUGUUGUUUAGAUAUCAAGUAGCGAUUUUUUUCGGGUUAAGCUACUUCGGCAGAAAUUUCAACACCGAGAAGACACAUUGCCUGAUGAAGCUUAUGAGUACUACCAUCUCACUACAGAUCAUACACCCACACCUUAACUAAUUGGUCACUAAUAUAAACUUAGUUCUAACAUCCAUCCAUUAGCGAUUUUUUUCGGGUUAAGCUACUUCGGCAGAAAUUUCAAAACCGAGAAGACACACUGCCUGAUGAAGCUUAUGAGUACUACCAUCUCACUACAGAUCAUACACCCACACCUUAACUAAUUGGUCACUAAUAUAAACUUAGUUCUAACAUCCAUCCAUUUGUGCAUGCACACUAUAGUACACUACGAUGUACUUCAAAGAACACACAGUUUCUAACUCAUUCAUGUUUAAUUCACUCGCGUAUCAUGUACUUCAUGUUCUUACAAUAUAUAUCAGGUUGGAUAGCAAAGUAGAUGGUGUAUCGUGUGAUCGAGAAGCUUCUCCACUUAAUCGAACUAUGUUGCAUGGGUGUUUCUAGCUAUCAUUAGACUAAUCCCAAUUUUCAUGGUUUCUAAUUUCAAAGAUGUCAUAUCAAAUGAAGAGAUAAUGAUACAACAAUCUACAGUGUAGUAUUAUAAUGUUAUUUCUUAGACAUCAUAAAUUAUGGAUUUCUAACACUUGUAUUUACAACUUAGUCAUAUUCAUUGGCCUAAUUCAAAAUUGAAUAAGGUCAAUUGUAUAAUGAUUGAUGGAAGCUUGUGCGCUCUUGAGGAUAUCUAGUAGGAGUGUGAAUAUAAUUAAAAUGAAAUAAAUAUAUUUUAUGAUGUCAUCUUAUUAGAGUUUUAAAAUAUUAAACUAAAGGAAAGAAAAGGCUGAAGUGAAUUUAUUUAGCACUUAGAAGCUGUCCUAAGAGAGAUAGAGGGAUAAUACAUAGCUUACACUUGGCUUUCUACGUGUCAGUAAAAUUGAACCUUUACACUUUCCACGGUGUGCAUGUCAAGUUUCGUGAUAUUUAAAUUUUAAAUGCUAUUUUAUAGAGAUACUCCCAAGUAGCCCCAUGUGGGAUAUAGGGAUAAUACAUAGCCAAUUUUGAAAUUAAAAAUUUUAAAAUAUGUAGCACUUGUCUUGUACGACUUGUCUUGUACGUGUUACUAAAUGGAAUGUUCAUACAUUAUAUAUCGUGCAUGUCAAGUUUCGUAACAUUUAAAGUUCAAAUAUUAUUUUAUUGAGAUGGCCCAAAGUGAGUAAAUUAAAUUAGAGUAGGCUCUUAUCAUGCCAUGCAAAGUGGUGCGACAGAACCACGUUGUCGUGCCACACGCAGUAUCGUGGUAAGAGGAGCCCAUGUCACCUCCCCACACUAGCAUGGCAGGCUUGUUAUACCAGUGCAUGUAGCGUGAUAACGUUAUUUUGUCACGCCACGCGGUCAAGCGCAACCAAAAGGGAUGGAAAUAUUUGUCAGGAGGAGUUAUUUUUAAAAUAUUAUUUAAAAAAGGUUAAAAUUAAAAAACAUCAAGCAGUAUAAGAUGAAUUUCAGGUUCCUCAAUGAUCUAUCCUCAUUCUUCACAAAACUGAUUGUGUCGUCCGCAUAAUGCAGGUGUGAUAGACCUCCGUCAACCAAACGCGGCACAAGCCCUGGAUAUCUCUAACUCUACAUGCUGAGCUCAACAUUACCAAUAAAGAAUCUCCCACGAGGUUGAAAAGUAGAGGGGAUAGUGAGUCUCCUUACCUCAGACCUUCGUAAGUCCUAAAGAACUCCCAUCUUUCACCAUUAAUGUCAAUUGCCACCCUCCUCCCUCUGCCCACCUGCAUAAUCCAACUAGUCCACCUGGGCGAGGUACUCGUUCAACUCAUUCUUCCAAAAGGUGUUCGUUUUCCGGCCGUGUCCCAUCGCAGAAAAACCACGGAACACCCCUAUCCGCCCUAAUAAUGCCCGGCGACGAGCUUCCUUUCCCUGAUGACCUGAUCAGAGGACGAAGAUCUUGGGGUUUUUUUAGAACAUCCUACUGGCGGCGGCGGCGAGCCAGCAAGACGUCCGCAGAACUUCCUGGGGGUCUACAGGCCCCAGGAAGUCAACCCAACGGCGGUGAAGCCGAGGGUAUCCAACCACUCGCGCCAUCCCGC